GAGUUUGAUCCUAGCUCAGAUUGAACGCUGGCGGCAGGCCUAACACAUGCAAGUCGAGCGGUAGAGAGAAGCUUGCUUCUCUUGAGAGCGGCGGACGGGUGAGUAAUGCCUAGGAAUCUGCCUGGUAGUGGGGGAUAACGCUCGGAAACGGACGCUAAUACCGCAUACGUCCUACGGGAGAAAGCAGGGGACCUUCGGGCCUUGCGCUAUCAGAUGAGCCUAGGUCGGAUUAGCUAGUUGGUGAGGUAAUGGACUCACCAAGGCGACGAUCCGUAACUGGUCUGAGAGGAUGAUCAGUCACACUGGAACUGAGACACGGUCCAGACUCCUACGGGAGGCAGCAGUGGGAAUAUUGGACAAUGGGCGAAAGCCUGAUCCAGCCAUGCCGCGUGUGUGAAGAAGGUCUUCGGAUUGUAAAGCAC
Molecule: ribosomal RNA, 422 nt
Filed under: uncultured bacterium
Lineage: Bacteria
Description: bacterial SSU rRNA
Rfam family: Bacterial small subunit ribosomal RNA
Source: RNAcentral